GCCCUGGUAGCUCAAUUGGUUAGAGCGUCGGACUUUUAUGGGAUAGCCUCCUAGAGAGUUAUCCGAAGGCUGCGGGUUCGACCCCCGCCUGGGGCG
Xylariaceae sp. FL0594 is the source of this 96-nucleotide non-coding RNA. NCBI's taxonomy places the organism in Eukaryota, Fungi, Ascomycota, Sordariomycetes, Xylariales, Xylariaceae. The record is from the annotation of a GenBank genome assembly.